UGAAAGGCGAGAAGGUUAGCAUUCCCCUUGAGAAGGAUGGAAGGGGUCUUAGUGGUCUUUACAAAACGUAUAUCUGGUUCGUUCAUUCACUCACUCACUAGUAUUUAU
RNAcentral lists this non-coding RNA (108 nucleotides) under Ornithorhynchus anatinus (platypus). Lineage: Eukaryota; Metazoa; Chordata; Mammalia; Monotremata; Ornithorhynchidae. The record is from RNAcentral.